Non-coding RNA from Pelobates cultripes (western spadefoot toad), 519 nucleotides. NCBI's taxonomy places the organism in Eukaryota, Metazoa, Chordata, Amphibia, Anura, Pelobatidae. The record is from the annotation of a GenBank genome assembly.
GGGUACUUGAAAAUCCUAGACUGUUAGUGGGACUAAAUCCAGGACUGGUCAGGGGUACUUGAGGACUGGGUUUGAAACCCCUGAUCUAAACAAUGAAGCAAUCUAUUAUUAAAAGGAUGCUCCAAGCACCAAAACUACAACACCACAAUGUCAGGAAUGUGGUGUAAGGUGUCCUCAGAUACUGUCUGCCCGUAAUUGUCAAACUGUUUACAAAAAUGUUUGACUCUUAGCUUACUGUGUUGGAUGCAGAGGUCCUUCUGGCCUAAAUUGGUCUCAUAAAGCAGAAGUUGCUACUUCUACACCAGGUUUAGCUAGUACUCACUGGCUGAGAGUGUCAGCUGACAGCUUUCAGCCUAUGAAUACUGUCUAAAACUUGAUAUGGUAAUACAUAAAUAUGGGUUUCUUUUUUUUAAACCAAGACCUUGAUUUAUUAUUUUUAGAUAAGCUUUUCAAGUGAUGUGUUAUUUACAGAAGUCACCAUUAAAGUAUGUGGAGAUUUUUGUAGCUAAAUCAUUUGAA